Molecule: unclassified non-coding RNA, 375 nt
Filed under: uncultured bacterium
Lineage: Bacteria
Description: contains 16S-23S intergenic spacer region
Source: RNAcentral
UCACGUCUUACGACGGCAGUUUCACUAGAGUUCCCAGCGUUACCUGAUGGCAACUAGUGAUGGGGGUUGCGCUCGUUACGGGACUUAACCCAACACCUCACGGCACGAGCUGACGACAGCCAUGCAGCACCUAGUUUCGUGCAAUUGCUUGCUGCCAUGUUUCUACGGCAUUCACUAACUUUCAAGCCCAGGUAAGGUUCCUCGCGUAUCAUCGAAUUAAACCACAUGCUCCUCCGCUUGUGCGGGCCCCCGUCAAUUUCUUUGAGUUUUAAUCUUGCGACCGUACUUCCCAGGCGGCGCAUUUAACGCGUUAGCUGCGGUACUGAGAAAUCGCUUCCCCAACACCUAGUUGUCAUCGUUUAGGGCGUGGACUAC